GACGAACGCUGGCGGCGUGCUUAACACAUGCAAGUCGAACGGAAAGGCCCUGCUUUUGUGGGGUGCUCGAGUGGCGAACGGAUGAGUAACACGCGAGUAACCUGCCCUUGACUUUGGGAUAACUUCAGGAAACUGGGGCUAAUACCGGAUAGGAGCUCCUGCUGCAUGGUGGGGGUUGGAAAGUUUCGGCGGUUGGGGAUGGACUCGCGGCUUAUCAGCUUGUUGGUGGGGUAGUGGCUUACCAAGGCUUUGACGGGUAGCCGGCCUGAGAGGGUGACCGGCCACAUUGGGACUGAGAUACGGCCCAGACUCCUACGGGAGGCAGCAGUGGGGAAUAUUGCACAAUGGGCGGAAGCCUGAUGCAGCAACGCCGCGUGCGGGAUGACGGCCUUCGGGUUGUAAACCGCUUUCGCCUGUGACGAAGCGUGAGUGACGGUAAUGGGUAAAGAAGCACCGGCUAACUACGUGCCAGCAGCCGCGGUGAUACGUAGGGUGCGAGCGUUGUCCGGAUUUAUUGGGCGUAAAGGGCUCGUAGGUGGUUGAUCGCGUCGGAAGUGUAAUCUUGGGGCUUAACCCUGAGCGUGCUUUCGAUACGGGUUGACUUGAGGAAGGUAGGGGAGAAUGGAAUUCCUGGUGGAGCGGUGGAAUGCGCAGAUAUCAGGAGGAACACCAGUGGCGAAGGCGGUUCUCUGGGCCUUUCCUGACGCUGAGGAGCGAAAGCGUGGGGAGCGAACAGGCUUAGAUACCCUGGUAGUCCACGCUGUAAACGGUGGGUACUAGGUGUGGGGUCCAUUCCACGGGUUCCGUGCCGUAGCUAACGCUUUAAGUACCCCGCCUGGGGAGUACGGCCGCAAGGCUAAAACUCAAAGGAAUUGACGGGGCCCCGCACAAGCGGCGGAGCAUGCGGAUUAAUUCGAUGCAACGCGUAGAACCUUACCUGGGUUUGACAUGGAUCGGGAGUGCUCAGAGAUGGGUGUGCCUCUUUUGGGGUCGGUUCACAGGUGGUGCAUGGCUGUCGUCAGCUCGUGUCGUGAGAUGUUGGGUUAAGUCCCGCAACGAGCGCAACCCUUGUUCACUGUUGCCAGCACGUUAUGGUGGGGACUCAGUGGAGACCGCCGGGGUCAACUCGGAGGAAGGUGGGGAUGACGUCAAGUCAUCAUGCCCCUUAUGUCCAGGGCUUCACGCAUGCUACAAUGGCUGGUACAGAGAGUGGCGAGCCUGUGAGGGUGAGCGAAUCUCGGAAAGCCGGUUUCAGUUCGGAUUGGGGUCUGCAACUCGACCUCAUGAAGUCGGAGUCGCUAGUAAUCGCAGAUCAGCAACGCUGCGGUGAAUACGUUCCCGGG
This 1343-nucleotide ribosomal RNA is filed under the name uncultured bacterium. Its description in RNAcentral is "16S ribosomal RNA". It matches the Rfam family "Bacterial small subunit ribosomal RNA", at positions 28 to 1378 of the family's 1533-position model. The record is from RNAcentral.